RNAcentral lists this transfer RNA (68 nucleotides) under Enterococcus faecium EnGen0181. RNAcentral's name for it is "tRNA-Met". The stretch from base 4 to 62 matches the Rfam family "tRNA", at positions 8 to 63 of the family's 71-position model. Rfam says of the family: Transfer RNA (tRNA) molecules are approximately 80 nucleotides in length. Lineage: Bacteria; Bacillati; Bacillota; Bacilli; Lactobacillales; Enterococcaceae. The record is from RNAcentral.
GGAUGGAGCAGUCUGGUAGCUCGUCGGGCUCAUAACCCGAAGGUCGUAGGUUCAAAUCCUGGGGUUCA